Molecule: long non-coding RNA, 665 nt
Organism: Spea bombifrons (plains spadefoot toad)
Lineage: Eukaryota; Metazoa; Chordata; Amphibia; Anura; Pelobatidae
Exons: 3
Source: RefSeq, a predicted model, not a curated record
GUCUCUAGUUCUGUCUCUAAUCUGAAUCUUUUCUGUCUUUGCUUGUUUUUUCGAUUUCUUUCUCUCCAGUUGUCUUUUUGUUCAUUUUUCUUUCUGAAUAUCUAUCUCUCUUACCUCCCCUUGCUGUUGUUUCCUCCCCUUUGGUUAGAAGAAGUGUCAUUGUGUAUAGAUCAACCUGCAUAACGGGGACUAUAUUUACUUAACAGCUUUUGAUUUUGACAAUUAAUGAUUAAAUGUACAGUUCUGGAAUGCAAUGUAAUUUUUUUUUUUUUUUUAUGAGCCCUUGACAUGGAUAUAUACUGGCCUGUGCUGACCUUACAGUGGAAUUUGGUGACGUGCCUGCGUUGAUCCCAUCAAGCAGAGAAAAAUUCCACCAUGGACCAGACAGUUUCCACUAACCUGCUGCCUGCUCCCUCCGUCAACUACCAGGAGCAACCACCCUUUGACACCGUGUCCUGAGGGGUUGCAUUUCUCAAGAGUGGCAGCAUAUUCCACAUAAAGCCUGCAGUGCCGACUUUCUGCAAGCAGGUGGCGCACAUUUUUUUAUCUAUACCUGGAAUACAAAGUUUGCAUGUCAUUUUCAGUUAAUCUAUACAUCCAAUGCUGUGCUUCCUUGUGUUAUUUAUUUACUGUAUACCUGCAAAUACAUGGUGAAGGAAAAGAGA